Molecule: ribosomal RNA, 496 nt
Filed under: uncultured bacterium
Lineage: Bacteria
Description: partial 16S ribosomal RNA
Rfam family: Bacterial small subunit ribosomal RNA
Source: RNAcentral
ACGAACGCUGGCGGCGUGCCUCAUACAUGCCAGUAGAACGCUGAAGAGAGGAGCUUGCUCUUCUUGGAUGAGUUGCGAACGGGUGAGUAACGCGUAGGUAACCUGCCUUGUAGCGGGGGAUAACUAUUGGAAACGAUAGCUAAUACCGCAUAACAAUGGAUGACACAUGUCAUUUAUUUGAAAGGGGCAAUUGUUCCACUACAAGAUGGACCUGCGUUGUAUUAGCUAGUAGGUGAGGUAAUGGCUCACCUAGGCGACGAUACAUAGCCGACCUGAGAGGGUGAUCGGCCACACUGGGACUGAGACACGGCCCAGACUCCUACGGGAGGCAGCAGUAGGGAAUCUUCGGCAAUGGGGGCAACCCUGACCGAGCAACGCCGCGUGAGUGAAGAAGGUUUUCGGAUCGUAAAGCUCUGUUGUAAGUCAAGAACGGGUGUGAGAGUGGAAAGUUCACACUGUGACGGUAGCUUACCAGAAAGGGACGGCUAACUACGUG